CGUGGCUCAGAAUCAACGCUGGCGGCGUGCCUCAGACAUGCAAGUCGAACGCGAAAUUUCCCUUCGGGGAGAAAGUAGAGUGGCGCACGGGUGAGUAACACGUAGGUAAUUUGCCUUUGGGUGGGGAAUAACUCAGGGAAACUUGAGCUAAUACCGCAUAAUGCAGCGGCUCGACAUCGAGACAGUUGUUAAAGCGGGGGAUCGCAAGACCUCGCGCCUGAAGAGAAGCCUGCGGCAGAUUAGCUAGUUGGUAAGGUAAUGGCUUACCAAGGCGACGAUCUGUAACCGGCCUGAGAGGGCGGUCGGUCACACUGACACUGACAUACGGGUCAGACUCCUACGGGAGGCAGCAGUCGGGAAUUUUGGGCAAUGGGCGAAAGCCUGACCCAGCAACGCCGCGUGAAGGAUGAAAUCCCUCGGGAUGUAAACUUCGCAAGAACGGGAAGAAUAAGUGAAAGUUAAUAUCUUUCAUGAUG
This 476-nucleotide ribosomal RNA is filed under the name uncultured bacterium. RNAcentral describes it as "bacterial SSU rRNA". It matches the Rfam family "Bacterial small subunit ribosomal RNA", at positions 18 to 471 of the family's 1533-position model. The record is from RNAcentral.